Molecule: long non-coding RNA, 240 nt
Filed under: Gossypium raimondii (Peruvian cotton)
Lineage: Eukaryota; Viridiplantae; Streptophyta; Magnoliopsida; Malvales; Malvaceae
Description: long non-coding RNA (GRAI_LNC003900)
Source: RNAcentral
GUAUGGCUUAUACGGCGCUGUUUUGAGGCCACUGAAACAGGCCCUAAACGGUGCCGUUUCAUUUCUAUUAUAAAACCAACAUUUAAAAAAAAAUCUUCACUUUCUGCCAUGUUAACAACAAAAAAAAAACUAAUGAACCCUAGCCUACUCUGCUAGGGCUCCAAUAUUCAGCCGUGCCGCCGUUCCAAGACCCUCCAAACCUCGCCUAAUCGUCGACUGUGACGGUGGACCAAGAUCCGA